CGCUAGGGGAGCCUCACGGCUGAGAAAGGCAUCUGCCUGACCCUCACUACUUGAUCCGGUUCAUACCGGCGUAAGGAAGCUUAUAUAC
This 88-nucleotide non-coding RNA is filed under the name pig gut metagenome. Its description in RNAcentral is "TPP riboswitch (THI element)". The stretch from base 2 to 80 matches the Rfam family "TPP riboswitch aptamer (THI element)", at positions 8 to 91 of the family's 105-position model. Rfam says of the family: Vitamin B(1) in its active form thiamin pyrophosphate (TPP) is an essential coenzyme that is synthesised by coupling of pyrimidine and thiazole moieties in bacteria. The previously detected thiamin-regulatory element, thi box was extended, resulting in a new, highly conserved RNA secondary structure, the THI element, which is widely distributed in eubacteria and also occurs in some archaea. The record is from RNAcentral.